Molecule: ribosomal RNA, 253 nt
Filed under: uncultured bacterium
Lineage: Bacteria
Description: partial 16S ribosomal RNA
Rfam family: Bacterial small subunit ribosomal RNA
Source: RNAcentral
UACGGGGGGGGCAAGCGUUGUUCGGAAUUACUGGGCGUAAAGGGCUCGUAGGUGGCCAACUAAGUCAGACGUGAAAUCCCUCAGCUUAACUGGGGAACUGCGUCUGAUACUGGAUGGCUUGAGUUUGGGAGAGGGAUGCGGAAUUCCAGGUGUAGCGGUGAAAUGCGUAGAUAUCUGGAGGAACACCGAUGGCGAAGGCGGGUCUCUGGGCCGAUACUGACGCUGAGGAGCGAAAGCGUGGGGAGCGAACAGG